Long non-coding RNA from Chelonia mydas (Green sea turtle), 148 nucleotides. RefSeq lists it as uncharacterized. NCBI's taxonomy places the organism in Eukaryota, Metazoa, Chordata, Testudines, Cheloniidae. The record is from RefSeq and is a predicted model, not a curated record. The transcript has 3 exons.
GAAACCUUCACAAAACCUAACAAAGAGGAGCUUAAAUUCCUAACUCUGCUAGACACUAAAAAUCAUGGUCUCAGCAGAUACACUAGUUUUAUGACUCAUAACUACAAUUUGUAACCUACUAACCCUCUUUUGUCCUAUAACUACAGAG